AAUAUUGGACAAUGGGGGCAACUCUGAUCCAGCCAUGCCGCGUGUGUGAAGAAGGUCUUCGGAUUGUAAAGCACUUUAAGUUGGGAGGAAGGGCUUUAGGUUAAUACCGUGAAGUUUGGACGUUACCAACAGAAUAAGCAACGGCUAACUCAGUUCCAGCAGCCGCGGUAAUACACAGGGUGCAAGCGUUAAUCGGAAUUACUGGGCGUAAAGCGCGCGUAGGUGGUUCAGUAAGAUGGGUGAGAAAUCCCCGGGCUUAACCUGGGAACUGCUUUCAUAAUUGCUGAGCUAGAGUACGGUAGAGGGUAGUGGAAUUUCCUGUGUAGCGGUGAAAUGCGUAGAUAUAGGAAGGAACACCAGUGGCGAAGGCGACUACCUGGACUGAUACUGACACUGAGGUGCGAAAGCGUGGGGAGCAAAC
This 421-nucleotide ribosomal RNA is filed under the name uncultured bacterium. Its description in RNAcentral is "partial 16S ribosomal RNA". It matches the Rfam family "Bacterial small subunit ribosomal RNA", at positions 360 to 773 of the family's 1533-position model. The record is from RNAcentral.